RNAcentral lists this ribosomal RNA (111 nucleotides) under human gut metagenome. The record is from RNAcentral.
CGGUGAUGAUAGCAAAGAGGACCCACCCGUUCCCAUACCGAACACGGAAGUUAAGCUCUUUCGCGUCGAUGAUACUUGGCGGGCGACUGCCUGGGAAAGUAGAACGUUGCC